UCUUAUGCCCAUCUCUGGAAAUGGAGUGGGAUCAGCCCCAUUGAAAGAACACAGCCUGAGGGCAGGAAGUUAUUGAACCCAAGAGAGAAAUUAAAGUACUUUUCAUGAAAGAUCAUUGUCUGUUAAGACCCAAUCUCAGAGAAGUUAAAGAGCUUUCAUCACCAUACUUUCAGGGUCAAUUCAUCUCUGAAAAGGAACAGAUGGGGAAGAAUUAUUCAAUUCACAGUUGACUUGUCAUAAAUUCCAAGAUCUUGGACUGGCUGAAAACAAUGAUGUUGCCAUUCAUCCUUUCAUGUAUUCAUUAUGGUCUAUAGCUGAGAAGGGCUAUUUGGGGUUUGCUUUGGCUGAUGCUAGAAGAAGAAAACCAAGAAGAAGCCUCUCUAGGAAAACUUGCAGUAAGGAGAGUGGUCUGGAGAAUGGGAAGAGCAAGACCAAGAUAUUCAGUUGCUUGGUGAGAGCUGCUCUCUGCUUCCAAGAUGGCACCUUGUUGCUGCAUCCUCCAAUGGGAAGGAAUUCUGGGUCCUCACAUGACAGAAGGUGGAAAGGCAGAGAUCUGGCAACCUGAUGUGGAAAGAAAUAUCAUUUGUGACCACCAUUUUGUCAGGAGUCACGGGAUUCUACAGCCGCAGCAAACCUGGAGCAAACUGGUCCCCCCCAAUCUAGAUGAGACAAACCAGUGAUAACUGAAAAUCACAAUAAAAUUGUAAUACUCAAGAUC
This is a long non-coding RNA of Rhinopithecus roxellana (golden snub-nosed monkey), 718 nucleotides long. RefSeq lists it as uncharacterized. The transcript is spliced from 5 exons. The record is from RefSeq and is a predicted model, not a curated record. NCBI's taxonomy places the organism in Eukaryota, Metazoa, Chordata, Mammalia, Primates, Cercopithecidae.